This 19284-nucleotide long non-coding RNA is filed under the name Hordeum vulgare. RNAcentral describes it as "long non-coding RNA (HVUL_LNC010203)". The record is from RNAcentral. Lineage: Eukaryota; Viridiplantae; Streptophyta; Magnoliopsida; Poales; Poaceae.
GGCAACUCCAGAGCCCCCUGUUGGAAAUAUGCCUUAGAGGCAAUAAAAAAUAGUUAUUAUUAUAUUUCCUUUUUCAAGAUAAUCGUUUAUUUACUAUGCUAAAAUUGUAUUGAAUGGAAAGUCAGAUACAUGUGUGGAUACAUAGAGAGCACACUAAUUCUAGUAAGCCUCUAGUUCACUAGCUCGUUGAUCGAAGAUGGUUAAGGUUUCCUAGCCAUAGACAAGUGUUGUCACUUGAUAAUGGGAUCACAACAUUAGGAGAAUGAUGUGAUGGACAAGACCCAAACUAUGAACGUAGCAUGUGAUCGUGUUAUUUUAUUUCUACAGUUUUCUACAUGUCAAGUAUGUAUUCCUAUGACCAUGAGAUCAUGUAACUCACUGACACCAGAGGAAUGCCUGGCGUGUAUCAAACGUCGCAACGUAACUGGGUGACUAUAAAGGUUCUCUACAGGUAUCACCGAAUGUCUCCGUUGAGUUAGCAUGGAUCAAGACUGGGAUUUGUCUCUCCGUAAGAUGGAUAGGUAUCUUUGGGUCCACUUGGUAAUACAAAAUCACAAUGAUGCUUGCAAGAAAUGUGACUAAAGUGUUAUCCACGAGAAUUUAUAUUACGGAACGAGUAAAGAGACUUGCCGGUAACGAGAUUCAAAUAGUUAUAGAGAUACCGACGAUCGAAUCUCGGGCAAGUAAUAUACCGAAGGACAAAGGGACUGUUAUACGGGAUUAAAUGAAUCCUUGACAUAGAGGUUCAACCAAUAAAGAUCUUAGUAGAGUAUGUACGAGCCAAUAUGGACAUCCAGGUCCCGCUAUUGUUUAUUGAACGGAGAGUGUCUCAGGUCAUGUCUACAUAGUUCUCGACCCCGUAGGGUCUAUGCACUUAAGGUUCAUUGACGUUUCGGUAUUAUUAAUGUUCUUGGAUGAGAUCUUGGACAUCACUAGGAGCUCCGGAAUGGUAUGUAGGUAAAGAUUGAUAUAUAGGAAGUCCCAUUUUGGUCACUGGUAAAGUUUUGGGUAUUUUUGGUGGUGUACUCGGAAUGUCGAGAGGGCCAUCGGGAGGGGUCAGCCAUGCGAGGAAGCCAUAUGGGCCUUAGGGGUGGCACACCAGCCCUUAGUGGGCUGGCCGAGCUAGCCCCAAGGGGCCCAUGCGGCCAAGAAGUGGGGGAAGGAAAAAACCCAAAGGAGGGGAGGUUUCCAAGUACGACAGGAAUCCUAAUUGGAGUAGGAUUGGAGGUGGACUCUUCCACCUUCUCCUAUUCGGCCGAACCUAGGGAGGGCCUUUUGUCUGCCUCCUCCCCUCUCUCCCUCCUGUAUAUACUAGAGGAUUUGAGGGCAGCCCUAACCCUAAUAAGCCACGUGCAGCCCUCUCUCUCUAGGUCAUUUUAUGCUCUAGAUUAGUUCAGGAGAGCUAGGCGAAGCCCUGUUGGAUUAGUUCACCACCACCACCACCACGCCAUCCUGCUGGAUAAUUCAUCUACCUCUUCGUCCCUCUUGUUGGAUCAAGAAGGUGGAGAUCGUCAUCGAGUUGUACAUGUGUUGAAUGCGGAGGUGUGCACUAGAUCGGGAAGAAUCAUGAUGCGAUCGCGGGACGGAUCGUGAUGGAUCAUGGCAUGGAUCAUGAUUGGAUCGUGAAUAUGUACGACUACAUCAACGUCGUUAAAUACGCUUCUGCUUAGCGAUCUAGAAGGGUUUGGACAUGCACUCUCCCCUAUCAUAGAUGGUCAUCACCAUGGAUAGAUCUUGUGAGUGCAUAGGAAAUUUUCUGUUUCCCAUGCAACGUUCCCCAAUAGUGGGAUUGUGGGCUAAGUCUAUGCGUUGAUGACAUAUCGAGUACUCCCUCCGUUCCUAAAUAUAAGUCUUUUAAGCGAUUUCAUUAAGGGACUAAAUACAGAGGAAAAUGAGUGAAUCUGCACUUUAAAGUAUGUCUAUAUACAUCCAUCCAUACGGAGGGAGUAGAACACAAAGGAGUUUGUGGGCGUUGAUAUUCAGAUUGCUGCCCUCCUGUCACGCCCAAGAUGCGACCCUAUCCUCAAUUUGGCACGAAGACCUUGUCAGGGAUAGAAGCUCAUCUCGUCGUGUCGCAAGAAUGGAUAUCGUUACAAGUACAUGUACUGAAAAGAUGAUAUAUAUAUAUAUAUAUAUAUAUAUAUAUAUAGAAUUGGCUUACACUCGCCACAAGCUACAUCAGAGUCACAACAGUACAAUACAUAAUCAUCAAGAAUAAGAGCAGGGUACGACUACGGACGGAAACAAACGAGAAAAGAAGAACGACGUCCAUCCUUGCUAUCCCAGGCUACCGGCCUGGAACCCAUCCUAGAUCGAUGAAGAAGAAGAAGAAGAACCAACUCCAAAUUAACAAUCAACGCGCUCGCGUCAAGUAACCUUUACCUGUACCUGCAACUAGUGUUGUAGUAAUCUGUGAGCCACAGGGGACUCAGCAAUUUCAUUUCCAAAGUUAUCAAGACUAGCAAAGCUUAAUGGGUGAGGUAUGGUUAAGUGGUGAGGUUGCAGCAGCGACUAAGCAUAUAUUUGGUGGCUAAACUUAUGAGUACAAGAAAUAAGAGGGGGACGAUCUACGCAUAACGGACGUGACUACUGAUGAUCAAAUGAAUGAUCCUGAACACCUACCGACAUCAGACAUAACCCCACCGUGUCCUCGAUCGGAGAAGGAACUCACGAAAGAGACAGUCACGGUUACUCACACAGUUGGCAAGUUUUAAUUAAGUUAACUUCAAGUUAUCUAGAACCAGUGUUAAACAAAGUUUCCACGUUGCCACAUAACUGUGGGCACGGCUUCCCGAAAGAUUUAACCCUGCAGGGGUGCUCCAACUAGUCCAUCACAAAUUACCACAAGCCGCAUAGAAAUCCUCGAUCACGAAGCUCGGGAUCUCGUCGGAUUCCUUAGUGGAACACCUCAACUCUGAGAUUACCCAAAGCAUCACCGGAAUCCCAAUGCACAAGAUAUCUCGUCAAAGGUAAAACUAAUCCAGCAAGGCCGCCCGACGUGUCGACGAUCCUGAUAGGAGCUGCGUAUCUCGUUCUCAGGACACGACGGAUAAGCACAGCGUACGGUGGCCCGAUAGAAAUCUCCCAAGUUGCCCCGGGUUGGCCCCACAAACGGCUCUAGUUUUGGACCAGCAUUAUCAGCACUAGCCCCCUAUAUUAUGUAGAAUUACUCCUCGGGUAGCGCUAACUCCCUAUGCAUUUCAGUUUAACAGAAUUAUUAUGUUGGGCAAAUAGUACCAAUGUUGGGCCUUCCCAGACCAGCUUUAAUCUAAAACAAAUUAUCAAGGGGGUCUGCAUAACAACCCCGGUCGUGUUAGGAGCGCUCAAUUAUGGAACAUAACACCGGUAGCCGAAACUAAGGGGGCAAAGGUGGAACAAAACACCAGGCUAGAAAGGCCGAGCCUUCCACCUUUUACCAAGUAUAUAAGCGCAUUAAGUUAAAUAGCAUUUAGUAUGGUUAUAUGACAAGGGACCCAUGUUAUCACAUGGAAGCAACUGCACCUGCAACUAGCAACGCUAACACAGGGUUAAGCAAGCGGUAACAUAGCCAAUCAGUGGUUUGCUAGGUUGAACAGGUUGAAGGUUUUCAUGGCACUGUUGAGAGCCUGAUAAUUAACAUGUGGUAGGCAACGAGACAUAAUCGAUAGAAGCGAUAAAACUAGCAUGACAAUGAUAGUAAUGGUAUCUGGGGAAAUGGUCAUCUUGCCUGAGAUCUCGGUUGGAAGAAGAAUGCCUCCGUGAAGAAGACGAACCGAUAUAGUCGAACGGGUCCUCACAAUCCGACACGCUUGCGGAACUCUAACGAGACGAAGCAUACCGGAAACAAGAAUCAACACACGAUAUUCACCACACGGUGCACAAUACAUAUGAUGCAUGAGCAGGUGAAUAGAUGCAAGACACGGCAUGACAAUUCACACAAGCAAACACUACACAUUAAGUGAAGUUCAAUAUGCAACGAGUUGCAUAUUGACGAAACUCCACGUUUAUUUAUUUAGUUCUAUCUCGAUUAGAUACACGGCAAUAUUAAAUGUGGUUAAACAUGGCAAGCGGUGAAGCAUAAUUAAAAUACCUAUCUAGGCAUUUUAAAUGAGGUCGGAAAUGACAUAUAGCACCUCCGAGACGACCUCACAUGUUAAUUUACAAUUCUGUCCAGAUCUGAACUAACACAUUUAAUUAGUUGUUAAACAGCAAAACAAAUAGGUUCACGUGAUUCUACGCCUCGUUACAAGCAACCUACACAUAGAGAACUUCUCCAACGGAGCUACGGUUCAAAAGAUACAAGCACCGCAAGAUAUGAUGGCAUGAAUGCAAUAUGUGUGCAACGACGGUCACGAGCAUUUCAAAACAUACAACAAACAAGAGAAAAUGAAACUACACGAGAUUCUAAGCAAGUUUCAUAUAGGACACGACCAAAUCGGAGCUACGGUUCGACAACUACGAGCAAAAAAGGAAAUCACUACAAUCUGCCAAAAUCAGCCAGAUAGCAUUUUCUACAUCCCACAACUACGAGCUACACAACUCCAAUCUACUCAACCAAGGCCUGACACGAUAGAGGGCAAGAAGCACUAAAACAAACAACUAACAACAAAUAGCAUGGCAUCAUGGAUCACUAGGGAAAGAAGUCACAAAAUGGCAUCUCACACACUAUUUCAGAGUUAGUGAAAAUAACACUUCAUGAAAGUGCAGUUUUCGGUCUGAAGGCAUAUUGACAGCAGCAAAACGAUAAGCUACAUGACUCCAAAUGGCAUGAAAAUUCAUAGCAUGCUAGAGAAUCACAAGGUCUACAACAUACUCCAUUGCACCAACCUCAAAAGAGCUACAGAUCACAAGAUACAAGCAAGACAAGACAGCAACAAAAUAUAACAGAUCUCAGACUUCAAAAUAUUUUAGCUCCUCCAAAUUAGCACUAUUUAUAGCAACUUGACAGCAAGCAAACCACACCUAAACAUCCAUUUAUAUUGCAACUAAAAAUACCAGGGGCUAGACUAAACAUCAAAGAACAACUCCCUAGUUGACAACUUAAUCAAACGAAGCACGGAAUAAAUUCUACGAAAUAGACAAGAGGGCAACAUGGCAAAAUAUCGCGCGAACUAACUUGCUCAAAAGCUAAAACUAGUUGCACAGAAAAAUCCUAUGGAUUUUUCUAACCCGAAAACAUAUAAAAUAUGUGGGCUGGACAACAAAAAUAUUGCCACACGUAAACGCAAGAUAAUAACCUAUACACGGAAAAAUAAACUAGCGGCAAUCCCUACACGCAAAAAUACCGACAUCUACUCUAAAAUACAUGGAAAAGGUGUUCCUAAAACAUGGACAUUUCUACUACGGCAUUCGGGCAAACCGGACACGCACGAGAAAAUAAACGAGACGAAACCUUUUGGAACAGCACGAGUUUCUAGUCAUGCGGCAUGCUAAACGACGUCAAACAAUUAUGCAAGUUGCAAAAACGGAUUGUACACGAAAUUCUACACCAAAACCAUAUAUUACACAUCUCGAUCCGACUAACGGUUAAAAAGUUACGGGGAAAAGAAUAUUCGCUUAUUUUCUGGAAUUAUAAUAAUUCCAAAAAUCAUCUAUAUUAUCUAACGGGCCGAAUUUACCUAAUUGGGCCUACAGUGGCAUGGGCGCUACAUAAUUAAAACUGUACACGGGCGAGAAGUAGGGAUAGGGGCGGGGCUUACCACCUUGGGCCGGCCUGGAGGGUGCUGUGGAGUGGAGGUGGCCGACCUGGGCUUGGGUCGGCCUGAUCGGGCGGCCUAUCCUGGGCCUGGCUGCGAGGCCUAGGCGGGAGGAGCGCUGCGCUCGGCGUCGUGCCCCUCGUCAUGCCGAGGGCACGGGACCUGGCGGCGGGGCUGGCGAGAGGAUCCGGCGGGAUCCGGAGUGGCCGGAGCUCUCGGACCCGGCAGCCGCGAUCUGGGCAACGGGAGCGGAGCCCCAUCGAUCUGGACGCUGCGAGGAGGGAUCCAGGGCGGCGGCUGAGGUACGGGCGACGGGAGGCGGCCGGUCGGGCAGCUCGGGCUGGCGUUUGGCAGUUGCAAGUCUCGGGAGCCAAGGCGGCGCGGCUCCCUGGCUGUAGCCGGCGACGAAGGGCACGCGGCGGCCGGCGGCUAGAAGCGCGGGCUCCAGCGGGGACUCGGCGGCUCGGGCUGCUGCGGCUCGAGGGGUUGGCCGGCUGCGCUAGGCACGAGGCUCUAGGCACGGGAGGCAGAACGGGGGCGGCGGCGGCUCGGGCCCGGGGGGGCGGAUCUGGGCCUGUCGGGCCCGCUCGAGGAGAGAGGAGGGUAGGCUGGCGGCUAGGGUUUGGGAAGGCACAGGAAACGAGGAGAGAGGGGGGUUUGGCUGCCUUAAAUAUAGGAGGGGUAUAUAUAGACAAAUGGGGGGCUAGGUUAACCGGAAUUCCGUUCCGGAUCCAACCGCCCGGUCGGAAUCGGACGAUUCCAAACACGGGACGGACUAAGUGGCAGUGUACAGUAGGUAACCGGAGACGAGAGGGGAAACGGGCAACGCGGCAACGAUUUUUCACACACCGAUAACCGUCCGACGGUAGACCGAAUACGGUGCCGUUACAGUCGACCGUUCGGGUACCAGACGAACUCCGAUCGUGACGAAAUUCGACAGGCGGCCUAGCUAUGAUUAAUUACGACCGCAUGCCAAGUUUCACCCCGAUCAGAGAAAGUUUUACGCACACUUUGAAAACAGGGUUUAAACGAUGCCGCGGGCGCGUGCGUGUGAGGUCGGGCUCAGAACGGACAACGACGGGAACCGUCAACUAACUACAGAUGCAACUUUUGAAAACGGGCGGCAACAGAGAUGCCGAUGCAAUGCAGAUGAUGCGAAUGAUGCGAUGAUGAUGCGACAAAAGAAAAUAGACACACGACGAAAACGAAAUAGAAGGGAAAUCUUCUGGAACGUCGGCAUCGGGCUGUCACACCUCCUUAGUCUUUUCUUGAUUCGACGGUAUUGUUGGAUGAAGAAGCCCACACCAAUAUUACUCGUACGCUUACGAGAGACCAGUUUCAUCGACUAACAUGCAACUUGUUGCAUAAAGAUGACUCGCGGGUCUCUGUUUCUCCAACUUUAGUUGAAUCAGAUUUGACCAAGGCGGUCCUUGGAGAAGGUUAAAUAGCAACUUCCAUAUCACCUUGUGGUUUUGUGUAAGUAAGAUGUGAGCAUCCUAGAUACCAAUAGCAGCCACGUAACACAUGCAACAACGUAUUAGAGGACGUUUAAUUUGUUUUUGUAGGGUAUGCAUGUGAUGUGAGAUGGACACAGACAUGAUAUGAUAUAUUUGAUCUAUGAGAUGAUCAUGUUGUAAUAGUUAAAUAUCGACUUGCACGUCGAUGCUACGGCAACCGGCAGGAGCCAUAGGGUUGUCUUUAAUUAUUUUUGCGCCCGGCGAUGCUUUACUUUAUCGCUAGUUCAGUAGCUUUACUAGUAACAGCCUAGGUGGCGCGGCAACCUCGAUGGCAGCACAACGAUGGAGAUCAUGGUGUGGCGCUGGUGACGAUGGAGAUCAUGUCGGUGCUCCAGUGAUGGAUAUUAAGAAGCACAAGUUCAUGGCCAUAUCAUGUCACUUAUGAUUUGCAUGUGAUGUUAAUCCUUUUAUGCACCUUAUUUUGCUUAGGACGACAGUAGCAUUAUAAGGUGAUCCCUCACUAAAAUUUCAAGAUAAAAUUCUGUUAUCCACGAGUGUGCACCGUUGCGACAGUUUGUCAUUUCGAGACACCACGUGAUGAUCGGGUGUGGUAGACUCUACGUUCACAUACAACGGGUGCAAAACAGUUGCACACGCGGAACACUCAACUCACGUGAAGGUAUGAUCAACAUAGAGAUGAUCGGGUGUGGUAGACUUGACGAGCCUAGCAUGUACACACAUGGCCUCGAAACACAAGAGACCGAAAUGUCGAAGAUGAGUCAUAUAGUAGAUAUGAUCAACAUAGAGAUGUUCACCAUUGAAGCUAACUCAACUCACGUGAUGAUCGGACUUGAGUUAGUGAAUUUGGAUCAUGUGUCACCCGAAUGACUAGAGGGAUGUCAAUUUGAGUGGGAGUUCUUAAGUAAUAUGAUUAAUUGAACCUAUUAUCAUGAACAUAGUCAAUAUGUCUUUGCAAAUUAUGUCGUAGCUUGUGUUGUAGCUCCACUGUUUUUGAUAUGUUCCUAGAGAAACUUAGUUGAAAGAUGAUAGUAGCAAUCAUGCGGACUGGGUCCGUAAAACUCAGGAUUGUUCUCAUUGCUGCACAGAAAGCUUAUGUCCUUAAAGCACCGCUCGAUGUGCUACCCCCCGAGCGUCGUCCCUGGAUGUUGCGAACAUCUGACAUACACAUUUUCAUGACUAUGUGAUAGUUCAGUGCGUAAUGCUUAACAGCUUAGAAUUGAGGCGCCCAAGAUGUUUUUGAACGUCACGAAACAUAUAAGAUGUUCCAAGAUCUGAGAUUUGCAUUUCUGGCUCGUGUCCGGGUUGAGAGCUAUGAGACCUCCAACAAGAUUCUUUGUGUACAAAGUAAGAGAGAAAAGCUCAAUCAUUGAGCAUGUGCUUAGAUUAUCUGAGUACUACAAUCUCUUGAAUGAAGUGGGAGUUGAUAUUCCAAAUAAGAUAGUGAUUGACAUAGUUCUCCAAAGUCACUACCACCAAGCUACUGGAGCUCCAAAGAAACCCAAGGUUGAACCUAAACCCGAGACUAAGUGCUUCUGUGAUGAGGGGAACAUUCACUAAAGUGAAACUACCCAAGGUACUUGGUAGAUAAGAAGGUUGGCAAAGUCGACGAAAGUAUAUUAUACGUGAUAUUGAUGUGCACCUUGCUAGUACUCCUAGUAGCACCGGGGUAUUAGAUACCGGUUCAAUUACUAAGUGUUAGUAACUUGAAAUUGUAGCUAAAAAAUAAAUAUAUAAUAGCAAGGGUGAGAUGACGAUGAGUGUUGGAAGUAAUUCCAAGGUUGAUGUGAUCAAUCAUCGCAUGCUCCCUCUACCAUUGGGAUUAAUGUUGAACCUAAAUAAUUGUUAUUUGGUGUUUGCGUUGAGCAUAGACAUGAUUAGAUUGUCUUUAUUGCAAUAAGGUUAUUCAUUUAAAGAGAAUAAUAGUUACUCUGUUUACUUGAAUAAUACCUUCAACGGUCUUGCACCUAAAAUGAAUGGUUUAUUGAAUCUCGAUCGUAAUGAUACACAUGCUCAUAAUAUUUAUUCCAAAAGAUACAAAGUAGUAAUGAUAGUACCACUUACUUGUGGCAUUGCUUCUUGAGUCAUAUUGGUGCAAAACGCAUGAAGAAGCUCCAUGUUGGUGGAUCUUUGGACUCACUCGUUUUUGAAACAUUUGAGACAUGUGAACCAUGCAUAUUGGUAUAAACGCAUGAAGAAACCCCAUGCACAUGGAGUGUCUAGGCUCACUUGAUUUCAAAUCACUUGAGACAUGCCAAUCAUGCCACAUGGGCAAGAUGACUGAAGGCCUCGUGUUCAGUGAGAUGGAACGAGUAAGUGACUUGUUGGAAAUAAUACAUUUUGAUAUAUGCAGUCCAAUGAGUGCUCAGACACGCAGUGGAUAUUGUUAUGUUAUUACUUCACUGAUGAUUUGAAUACAUACUAGUGUAUUUGCUUGAUGAAUUACAAGUCUGAAAUAUUGAAAAGUUCAAGCAAUUUCAGAGUGAAUUUGAAUAUCGUCAUGACAAGAGGGUAAUAUGUCUAUGAUGUGGUUGUGGAGGUAAAUAUCUACUAAGUUGCGAGUUUGGUAAACAUUUAAGACAUUGUGAAAAUUGUUUCACAACUCAUGCCACCAGGAACACCAUAGAGUGAUGGUGUGUCCGAACGUCAUAGCCGCUCCCUAUUGGAUAUGGUGCAUACUAUGAUGUCUCUUAUAGAAUUGCCACUGUCGUUUUUGGGUUAGGCAUUAGAGACAACCGCAUUCAAUUCCAAUAGGGCACCAGGUAAUUCCGUUGAGAUGACACCAUAUGAACUAUGGUUUGGAGAAACCUAAGCUAUCGUUUCUUAAAAGUUUGGGGCUGCGGCGCUUAUGUGAAAAAGUUUUCAGCCUCAUAAGUUCGAACCCAAAGCGGAUAAAUGCGUCUUUAUAGGACACCCAAAACAGUUGGAUAUACCUCCUAUCACAGAACUGAAAGCAAAGUGUUUGUUUCAAGAAACGGGUCCUUUCUCGAGAAAAAGUUUCACUCAAAACAAUUGAGUGGGAGGAUGGUGGAAACUUGAUGAGGUUAUUGAACUGUCACUUCAACCAAUGAGAAACAAGGGCGCAGGAAAAUAUUCCUGUGUCACCUACACUAGUUGAAGUGGAUAGCUGAUGAUGGUGAUCAUAAAGCUUUGGAUCAAGUUACUACCAAACCUCAUAGGUCAACAAGGAAAUGUACUGCACCAGAGUAGUACGGUAAUCCUAUCUUGGAGGUCAUGGUGUUGGUCAACAAUGUACCUACGAGCUAUGGAGAAGGGAUGGUGGGCCCUGGUUCCGACAAAUGGCUGAAGGCCCUGAAAUCCCAGAUAGGAUCCAUGUAUGAAAACAAGUGUAGACUUUGGAAGAACUACUUUAUGGUCAUAAGGCUAUUAAGUAUAAGUGGAUCCUUAAAAGGAAGAUGGACGAUGAUGGUAAAUGUCACAACUAAGAAAGCUCGACUUGUCGCAAAGAUGUUCCCGACAAGUUCAAGGAGUUGACUACGAUGAAACAUUCUCACCCGUAGCGAUCAAAGAAGGAGUUGUUGGCUGUGUUGUAAGGUGAGAAUAUUGGGUAAGACUCAAAGCCCGACCACGAUAGAAGAAUGAGAAAGGACGAAGGACGUCCCCUAUGCAUUAGCCGUAGGCUCUAAAGUAUGUUAUGUUGUGUACCACACCUGAUGUGUGCCUUGGCAUGAAUCUGUCAAGGGGUACAAAAGUGAUCCAGGAAUGGAUUAAUAGACAACGAUCAAAAGUUAUCCUUAGUAACUAGUGGACUAAGGAAUUUUUCUCGAUUAUGGAGGUGAUAAAAGAGUUUGUUGUAAAGGGUUACGUCGAUGCAAGCUUUGACACUUAUCUAGAUGACUUUGAGUAGUAAACCGGAUUCGUAUAGUGGAUCGAUCAUUUGGAAUAGUUUUAAAUGGCAUGUGGUACCAGCAUCUACAAGAUGACAUAGAGAUUUGUAAAGCACACAUGAAUCAAAAAAGUUUAGACCCGUUGACUAAAAACCUCUCUCACAAGCAAGACAUGAUCAAACCCCAGAAUUGUAUGGCUGUUAGAUUCAUUACUAUCACAUAGUGAUGUGAACUAGAUUAUUGACUCUAGUGCAAGUGGGAGACUGUUAGAAAUAUGCCAUAGAGACAAUAAUAAAUUAGAUAUUAUUAUAUUUGCUUGUUCAAGAUAAUCGUUUAUUAUCCAUGCUAAAAUUGUAUUGAAUGGAAAAUCAUAUACAUGUAUGGAUACAUAGACAACACACUGUCCCUAGUAAGCCUCUAGUUGACUAGCUUGUUGAUCAAAGAUGGUUAAGGUUUCAGAGCCAUAGAUAAGUGUUGUCACUUGAUAAUGGGAUCAUAUCAUUAGGAGAAUGAUGUGAUCGACAAGACCCAAACUAUUAACCUAGUAUGUGAUCGUGUUAUUUUAUUGCUACUAUUUUCUACAUGUCAAGUAUAUAUUCCUUUGACCAUGAGAUCAUGUAACUCACUGACACCGGAGGAAUGCCUUCUGUGUAUCAAACAUUGCAACAUAACUGGGUGACUAUAAAGGUGCUCUUAAGGUAUCUCCAAAGGUGUCCAUUGAGUUAGCAUGGAUCAAGAUUGGGAUUUGUCACUCUGUAUGACGGAGAUUUAUCUCGGGGCCCACUCGGUAAUACAACAUCACAACAAGCCUUGCAAGCAAUGUGACUAAAGAGUUAGCCACGGGAUUUUGUAUUACGGAAUGAGUAAAUAGACUUGCCUGUAACGAGAUUCGAAUAGAUAUAGAGAUACCGAUGAUCGAAUCUCGGGCAAGUAACAUACUGAAGGAAUAAAGGGAAUGCUAUAUGGGAUUAACUGAAUCCUUGACAUAGAGGUUCAAAAGAUAAACAUCUUUGUAGUAUAUUUAGGAGCCAAUAUGGACAUCCAGGUCCAGCUAUUGGUUAUUCACCAGAGAGUGUCUCAGGUCAUGUCUACAUAGUUCUCGAACCCGCGGGGUCUGCACACUUAAGGUUCGUUGACGUUUCAAUAUUAUUGAGUUAUGUGUGUUGGUAACUGAAAGUUGUUCGAAGUCCCGGAUGAGAUCCCGGAUGUCAUGAUGAGCUCGAGAUUGGUACGGAGGUAAAGAUUGAUAUAUAGGAAGUCCCAUUUUGGUCACCGAAAAAGUUUCGGUUAUUUUUUGUAGUGUACCAGGAAUGCUCGGAGGGCCAUCGGGAGGGGUCACCCAUGCCGGGAGGCCAUGUGGGCCUUUGGGGUGGCGCACCAGCCCUUAGUGGGCUUGUCGAGCCAGCCCCAUGGGGCCCAUGUGUCCAACAGUUGGGGGAAGGGAAAAACCCCAAAGGAGGGGAGGUUUCCAAGUAGGAGAGGAAUCCUACUUGGAGUAGGAUUGGAGGUGGACUCUUCGACGUCCUCCUAUUCGGACGAACUAAGGGAGGGACUUUUGGCCUCCUUCCCUCCCUCCCUCCUAUGUAUACUAGAGGAUUUGAGGGCAGCCCUAACCCUAAUAAGCCACGUGUUGCCCUCUCUCUCUCUAGGUCGUUUUCUCCUCUAGAUUAGUUCAGGAGAGCUUAGCGAAUCCCUGCUAGAUUAGUUCACCACCACCACCAGCACGCCGUCGUGCUGGAGAACUCAUCUACCUCUCCGCCCCUCUUGCUAGAUAAGGAAGUCAGAGAUCGUCAUCGGCAUGUACGUGUGCUGAACGCGGAGGUGCCAUCUGUUAGGCACUAGAUCGGGGAGAAUCAUGAUGAGAUCACAGGAAAGAUCAUGAUGAGAUCGUGAUGGAUUGCGGGAUGUAUCAUGAUUGGACCACGAAGACAUACGACAACAUCAAUCGCGUUAUAUACGCUUGCGCUUAGCAAUCUACAAGGGUUUGUAGAUGUACUCUCCCCUCUCGUAGAUGGUCAUCACCAUGGAUAGAUCUUGUGUCCGCGUAGGAAAUUUUUUGUAUCCCAUGCAAUGUUCCCAAACCCCCCCCCCAUCUUCGGCACCAUCAGUACUAGUUUCUCCACAAAGGGAAACUGCUACGUCGCACCCGGAGCCGUCCAUAACGAAGCAUAUCUGAACUAGGUGGUCGGCCAUGAGGGAGGAGGGUCCUAAUUACAACGGUGUGAAAGAUGCCUUCGGCGUACUGCUCGCAGGUAUCAAGGUAAUCCAUGCACUCUUUUUCCUUCACAAAGUAAUUGUUUUUCCUAUUAUCUAUAAGCAACAUUUUACUCAGUAUCCCCUGCGCACUGUGUGAGUUAGGAAAAACUCAUGCGAGGGUCGGAAUAGUUAAGGAAGAAAAGUUGCAUCUGGCCCCCAAGACUAUGGUAGGAUGAUCAAACCCACCCUACCAGAGGAUUUCGAAAAAGUUUAAGAACUAUGAGAGUCUAAAAAUACUUAUCUGCACGCUUCCACCUCGGUCGCAGCCCCCAACUCCAUGGUGUUAGCAGAAAUGAACCGGAAAUUGAAGGUUUUCGAGGAAGAGCUCGGCCGCAACAACAAGCGGUUUGAGGACGCACAAGGUAAGCAUUCAAACUUUAGUUUUCUCAUGAAAGUGAAGUUUUAAUAGUUUUGUCUCUAAGUACAAUUAUUUUCGUGACCAUCAUAGUUGUUCCUGCUGAUGUCGAGCAGCUCAAAACCGAACUGGACAAGGCCAAGUAGGAAGCUGGUGAAGAAAGGGCGGUGGUCGAACAUGCCAAGUCUGCUAAUGAGAGGUCUGAUGACAGGGUUAAUGAGGUACAACAAGAGCUAAAGGAAGUUGUCACGAAAAAUGAGGCACUUCAGGAGAAGAAUAAAGAAAAAUCUACCAACCUGACCUUGGUGACUACUGCACUCCAAGAAGUGCAAAAGGUAGCACAGAGUCAUCGGAUGGAGAUCCAUCACAUCAAGAAAAUUGCAGAUGUUAAGAGAUAUUUACUAAAGUGUAUAUGGGGCGGAAAAAGAUUUGCAUUGCUUACUCGAGUGUGGAGUUCUCCACGUGCGAUUGAGGAUCUCUCGAAGAGUGCAACGGACGCUUUGAAGCACUAUGCAUCCCAGGAGGGUGAGGCCCAGUAAUGGCUCUUCUGGGCACAAUUUCAAGCCCCUCAGCAACCCCUUCUGUUCUCUGAUUAGUUGAAAUAAUUGAUGGAAAUUGCACAAGAUGAUAGAGCCGGCGAUGAAGGAUCUUUGCAUCACGCUUUGGCCGAUAGAGUCGCUGCCCAGCAACUAUUUUGGCCUAGUGCAGAAGUUGGUUGUUGUUGCGCCCCAGAUUGAUAUCAUGAAGCGCUUUGUGCUCAUCGAGGGCGCUCGGAACAAUGAUGCAUUGGACAAAAGUGGAGCCCUUCAAGAUGGCUACUGCCCCUCCGCCGCCUCGAAAGGAGCAUAGAUGCCCAAAGUUGUACUUCUCCACUACUAUGGAAGGUGCUCGCGCUGUAGAAGCGUAGUGCUCCAAAACUUAAUCUUUGAAUGAAAAACCAUUAUCCUGUAAAAGUUUUUGUAUGAUACAAUGCCAUUUUACUUUUGCAUGGUAUACCAUGUCUUUUUGUUUUUAUUACAACUCAUGUGUGGUUAUUUUUAAUCCUGAAAGGUUCCAGUUGUCGGCUUCAGCCCCUUGACAGAUACUGCCAAGGGUCUUUUCGGACUCUACAUUGUAUACCCUUCACCAACGUCUUGGUACCCUAAGGCGGUAAUGCGAGAGAAAACCAGGCAAUCGACUGUGUGGCUUUAAGUCUUUCACUUAUGUAACGUCCAAGAUGCGGCACUAUCCAUAUUUGGGGACGAGGCCUCAAAUAUGGAUAGAGGGGCAUCGUAACAUUUUGCAAGUAUAGAAAUCAUCACAAUACAUUUAGGAAAGAUGAGUAUAUGGAUGUCAUACAUCCAUAAGUUAAGUUACAAGCCACACAACUUUAUUUCAACCAUCCAUAAGACAAAGUCUGGCUACGGACAAGAUAAACGGUAAAUUUAAUGAAUCUGCCUCGCUAGCCCAGUAGACGACCAAGGUCCUCUAUUCGUCGGGGUAUGUCACUUACAUGCGGCCACUUCCUUCAGGAAACUCCCACCGAAGAUGCAUAGCAUUAAACUCUUUUGCAUCUGCGGUACCUAGACCUGUGGUGUUGUAGUAAUCUGUGACCCAUAGGGAGUCAACAAUCUUGCGACCAUGAUACCGGAACUAAUCAAGUUAUUGGGUGUGGAAGGGUAAGUGUUGAGGUUGCAGCAGCAGUAAGCAUAUAUUGUGGCUAACUUACAAGAAUAUAAUGUAAGGUGAGUGGUCUACGCAUGACGGUCGUGAGCUACAUAAUGAUCACUAAGUGACCCUGAACACCUACUUACGACAGUCCUAACCCCACUGUGUCCAGAGUCAAAGAAGGAGCUCGUGAAAGAUACCCUCAUAGUUACACACACAGUUGGCAUAUUUUAGUUAAGUUUACUUGAAGUUAUCUAGAACCGAAUGUUAAAUAAACUUUCCAAGUUGCCACAUAACCGCAGGCACGGCUUUCAGAAAGAUAUUAACCCUCUAGGUAUGCUCCAACUAGUCCAUCACAAACUAUCACAAGCUGCUCUGGAGAGAAAAAACCUCAACCUCGAGAAAGCAUGAAGUAUCACCGAUAUCCCAGUGAACAAGACAUUCGAUAAAAGUAAGACAAAUCUAGAAAGACCGCCCGACACGCCAGAUCCCAAUAGGAGUCGUGUGUAUAUCUCUCUUAGGGCACUACCGGAUGGGCCACACUACGAGUUAAACCAAACCUUGACUUGCCCCGUGGUGGCCUCGCGGUCUUCCCAUUUGGACCAAAACUCACGAGGAUAGCCCGGGUUGUUGAUUAAUUCUCCGUGGGUAGCUAUUCCCUAUGCUUUUUAUUAAGUUGUUUACCAAAUGUAGUACCAAUGUUGGGCCUUGCUAGAAGAGUCUUAACUUAAAACGAAUUAUCAAGGGGGUCGCAUAACAACCCCAAGAGUGUUAGGAGCACUCAAUAUGGAACAUAACACCGGUAACCAAAACUAGGGCGGAAAAAGUGGACAAAAACACCGAGAAAAAGGCCAAGCCUUCUGCCUUUUACCAAGUAUAUAGGUGCAUAAAAUUAAAAAGCAGUAUAAGAUGAUAUUUAAAAUGUCCAUGUUGGCACAUGGAUCAGCCUGCACCUGCAACUAGCAAUGCUAUAAGAGGGUUGAGCAAGCGCUAUCUUAGCCAAUCAAUGUUUGCUAGCUUGUGGAGGGGUUAGAGGAUUUUCAUGGAAAUGUUUGUAGGCUAUGUAUUUAGGUGGUAGGCAAGAAUAAAUAGCAAAGGAAACGAGUCAUCUAAGCACAAGGAAAUUAGAAACGAUACCAAGGUCACGGUCAUCUUGCGUGAUGCUUCUUAUGACGGUUACAACUCUUGCUCCUCAGUAGCGUACUCAACGGGAUCCUCGCACUCGUUCUCAGCUCCUGAUACUACCCAAAGAAAAUACACAUCCAAUGAACACAAAGCAAGGUGCAAUGCUUCAAAUAACAUGAUGCAUGAGUGUGGUUAUGAAAGGAGCAUGGCAAUGCUAACUAGUCAUCUUUCUCAUGCAUUUAUUAAGUUGUUUAGCAUUAUGGACAUAACCUCAAGUUUAUAAAUUUGGUCAUGCAUGAACAUGGCAGAAAUGAAUGCAUCAUGAGAGAAAGGUGCAAAAACAUAUAAGGAACGUCACAAAUAGAGCUACUGAUCUCUCGAAAUUCACAAAACAAGAUACGGAAGGCAACAAUGACUAAACAACAUUUGAGAGAGAGCUAUGGGCAAUUUCUUGGCACUCCAAGUAUGCCACUCGAUUGGGCACGAAACUCUAGGUGAAAUAGACCAAAAUAUCAUGCAAAUAAAAGGAGCACAAUUCAGAAAACGCACAAAACAAAUUUUGCAACCAAUUUGUCCACAAACAGCAGCAUACCACUUUGUUCACAUGGAAACUAGUAGCUACAGCCACUCAACAAGUUCAAUCGAUACUUGUAUAUGAAGCUAUGAAGGAGCAAAAUAAUUCCUAACUAAUAGCAACAUGGAUAGGUUCAUGAAACAAUGGCAAUCCAGCCGCUAACAUGGCAAGAAUAUCGUAGAUUAGGAGUAAGUGAAAAUCUCAGUUUCAAGCUUGCAGCUUUUAACCGGAUGGCAUGUUGACAGCAAUAAACACUACUCUACAGGAAAUUUCAUGGCAUGAAAUUUAACAGGAUGAUAGAGGGCAACAACUACUACAAAUCACUCACUAAGCAUGAGCUAUAACUGCACAGAGUUCAUGGUAACAUCCCCUAAACAUGGCAUAAAAAUAACAGCAGGUUCACACACUUAGUCAAAUUUCACAAAAGGGAAUCACAACAAUUUACAACAUCAUAGCAUAUUUUACAGGAAUAAUAACUAAGAUGCAAAACCUUUUUGGCAAGGUGAUGGCACCAUUUGACAGAGGGCAACAAGCACUAUAAUUUAUGGCAUUGGACCAACCACAAAGGAUCAACACAUUCAUAGGAAUCAUCAAGACAACAUGGGAAGAAAAUAAUAGGUUCAACACUUCGAAAUAUUUGAGCAUGUGAAAAUAACUAUAUUAUCUUAGCAUGUUGUCAACAAGAAACCCACAAAUCCACAAGCUUAACAUGGCAAAGAAAUUAGCAUGGCCUGGUACCCUGAAAACACUACCACAUUCAUGUUGACAAGUAUACCAAAUAGUGCACGGAUGAAUUCAUGCAUAAUUAACAAAAUGUCAUCAUAUCACAAAAUGACAUUUUCACAAAGUUGCUCCAAUGUCUAAACUAAUGGCACCACUGGAUUCCUGGGAUUUUUCUAACCCAAAAUCAUACUCCAUCUGUACCAUAAUACAUGAUGUUUUAGCAGUUCAUUUGAGCUGCUAAAACAUCAUAUAUUAUGGUAUAGAGGUAGUAUAUCACACUCAUAUGUUCUUGUAGAGAAAACUCCCACAAAUUGCAAAUUGAAAAUGACAAGGGUAACUUACAACAUAGUACUCCCUCCGUAAACUAAUAUAAGAGCGUUUAGAUCACUAUUUUAGUUAUAUAAACACUCUUAUAUUAGUUCAUGCCAAAUGGGGCAUAUCCCUAAAUGGCAACUUCUAGAUCUCGACAUGGACAGAUCUGACACUUUUCCUAAAUGGAAAAAUCUGAAAACAAAGAAUAUAAGCACUAAAAAAAGGGGGGGCACUUGGUAGUGUCACUAAACCAUGUGUGCAUGACAUGCGGACCCUCGGACCCGCUGUGAGUGUCCUAGGAAAAUAAUGAAAAAGGGUGUGCCAAGGGGGUUUCAAACACAAGACCUCACGGUUAGGGAGCAUGGGACUGACCAAAGGACUAGGGUGCGGCUUGUGCUCAAAGAGGGCCUCUGAUCCUAUUGAACAAUAUACGACAUUGAGCUUAAAGUAUAACGAAUCUGAAACAAGUUUAGAGAACAUGCCAAAAGAAAAGAAAAUAGAAGACAUCGAACCUAGGAUCUCAUGUGUUAAGGAGCAAGUGGUAGCCGCUGCGUCACUACUAUGCACGUCCAAAGGGAAGGGUGAGAUGCGAGGUGAACUAACACCAAGUCCGGGCCUUCUUGUGCGAGAACCCCGGUGGAACUCAUGGACGGCGCCGGUGAGUGAGACGGCAACGACGACGGCUGUGGACUAAUGGCGGUGCUGUCGUACGAGCAAGAGGAUCGGUUCACGACUGCGGCAUGGCUGCAUGGGCGCAAGAGGAAAGAAUAUGCAUGCAAAAAAAUAGUACGCGACUACGCGUACACUGCUCUAUGACCGGCGCACCAAGGACACGAUCUUGACAUGGAUGGAACGAAUCGCACACGAUGCUAAAAACGAUGCGGACGAGGGCAAUGGAAGGAGGGUUUACCUCUGCUACCUAGGACAUGGAGCGAUGGUCUGGGGCAUGAUGCACUGACAGCAGUGAGUCAACGAACACCGGCGUGUCCGUGGACCAAGAAGAAGAAAAAGAAGAGCUUGUGAACAGCGUCGAUCUGGCCUUGGAGUCGUACGCGUCGUCAAGGAAGAAAAGGUGUGAUGGGCACGUCCUUCCUACGGCACCAGAGGACCGGAGGCGCGACGCAGAGGCUACACUGAGCUCAAGGGCGAGCUCGCUCGGUUAUGGCGUAGAGGAGACAGCUAUGGCAUGGGCGGCUUACCUGAGUGGCAGCGGGCAGAGGAGAGGGGAGGAAUCGGUCGAGGGAGGCUAGGUCUAGGUCUAGGGCAUGAUAGAUAGGCGGCUAGGAGCUUCUCC